UGCAUUGGCACCUCAUACCCACUGUUUGCGUUGAUAUACGUAUUGAUUUGUACUUCAUUGAUUUCCAAGUAUAAUAUAUAACAAAUCACAAGGGUAACAUCCAGGCAGAAGUUAAGCAAUUUUUCUGAAAAUAAUAUACUAUCAAAGUUUAGACUGGAAUUUUUAAUUUCGACCUAGACCUUGGGAAAAUUGUGGCUCCAAUUAAAACUGGAGAAAAAGUAAGAACCUUCCAUGCAAAAAUUCAAUUGUUAUCUAAUUGGGACCAUGGUGUUCUCGGCAGAUUUGCAAGGUGAACAAAGGAAACAAACUAAAGCCAUGGAAGAAAGGAAAUAAAUAAUGUUAACAAAACUUAACAAAUAUAUGGAAGGCUCGUCUAACACCAAGAAGCCGAACUGGAGACACGAAACACCUAAGAAUUGAUACAGUUUGUGUAGGAGUGGGCAGGUCUGAUUUGAUCCGGAAUCGAACCGAAUACAAUGGAAAUCUUAAAAACGGAACCACUGGUUCGACAUACAACUAUAAAACCGAACCAAUAAGUUCAAACUCGGUCUAGUUCUUUAUUAUAAAAAUAAACUAUGAAACUACUUAUCAAUUAAGAAAAAAGUCAAAAAUAAAGUAUGAAACCACUUUGUUAUUCUUUAAUUCUAACAACACAAAAAAAUCAAUUGAACAGGGCAACGAACAAAAAAUCAAUCAGCUCAUAAAGUGGAAAAAGCUAAAUUAUUAAACACAGCAUAAAUAGUAAAAUCUCGAUGGAAAAUUGGUUUUUAAGAAAAUUUUAUAACAAUAACCUAAUUAUCUUUAAUCUUCUAGGAUCUUGAUUCUUGAUGGCCGGUUACUUUGGAAACAACAAAAAAUUUGAAUUCUUAUGAAAUAUUGAACCAAAAAUAUAUUUUCUUAUUGCGUUGCAUUAAAGUUAUGAAUUUGUAAAUUAUUUAUAAA
RNAcentral lists this long non-coding RNA (942 nucleotides) under Olea europaea subsp. europaea. The record is from RNAcentral. Lineage: Eukaryota; Viridiplantae; Streptophyta; Magnoliopsida; Lamiales; Oleaceae.